CAAUGGAUAGUUUAUUUAAAAAUUUUAAUUUUGGAGAUUAAAAAAGGGAUUGUUUCUCUCUGUUGA
Molecule: transfer RNA, 66 nt
Filed under: Eteoneus sigillatus
Lineage: Eukaryota; Metazoa; Arthropoda; Insecta; Hemiptera; Tingidae
Description: tRNA-Pro
Source: RNAcentral